Long non-coding RNA from Ipomoea nil (Japanese morning glory), 681 nucleotides. RefSeq lists it as uncharacterized. Lineage: Eukaryota; Viridiplantae; Streptophyta; Magnoliopsida; Solanales; Convolvulaceae. The record is from RefSeq and is a predicted model, not a curated record. The transcript is spliced from 3 exons.
UCCAUCCUCAUCCUCACUCUUAUCGAUAUCAUCAUUGCCACCUGUGCUGCAACUUCUGAUAUUGGUUAGGAGUGUGGCUGUGAUGUUUAAUUUUAGAAGUUCAUCUAGCAUGGAAAACCACCCUGCUGGUGGAGCUGUCUGGAAGGCCUGACAGAUAUCUCACUGGUGUAACUGGGUUGGCACUUGGCAGCCACGGCGGUCUUCUCUACUAUGCAUACUCAUAACUAGGAGUGGCAUUUAGAAAGUGCAUAAAGAGCAGCAGCAGAACAUACCUUAACGGCUUAACAGGUGUUUUUAAGCCUUCCCUUUUCUGUUUUACUGGAAACAAACGUGAUGGACAACAUUGUCGCCCCGCCCACUUCAUGCUCUUGCACUGUUACACCAUCGCUGAAACACCAUGACAAGAGUGCCUAACAAGAAUGAGAACUUGCUUGAUGUGCCAUUACAAUUUGGUGUUGUAUUGCAGAUGUCAUCUUUUAGUGUCAACUUGUGAUUCCAUUGCAUCCCUCUGAUUGGAUUCAAGAGCUAGCAGCAGGUGGAGUGUUUUGUUGUUGUUCUUGUUGUAAAAUCACUAUAACUAAUUAGGUUAUGAAAAUAUGUUAAGAAAACCAAAUAAGAGAUCUUUUGUUAUUCAAAAAUCUUUGUAAUUUUACUCUCAACAGGAGAGUUAAUUUUGCUACU